This 205-nucleotide ribosomal RNA is filed under the name uncultured bacterium. RNAcentral's name for it is "partial 16S ribosomal RNA". It matches the Rfam family "Bacterial small subunit ribosomal RNA", at positions 524 to 728 of the family's 1533-position model. The record is from RNAcentral.
UACGUAGGCAGCGAGCGUUGUUCGGAAUUACUGGGCGUAAAGCGUGCGCAGGCGGUUUUGUAAGCCAGAUGUGAAAUCCCCGGGCUUAACCUGGGAAUGGCAUUUGGGACUGCAAGGCUCGAGUGCGGCAGAGGAGACUGGAAUUCCUGGUGUAGCAGUGAAAUGCGCAGAUAUCAGGAAGAACACCCGUGGCGAAGGCGGCUCC